UUCGGUGAUUACACGAGUGGCGCACGGGUGCGUAACGCGUAUGCAACCUACCUUUAACAGGAGAGAUAGCUCCGAGAAAUUGGGAUUAAUACUCCAUAAUAUUAUUUUAUUGCAUGAUAAAAUAAUUAAAGCUACGGCGGUUAAAGAUGGGCAUGCGUGACAUUAGCUGGUUGGUAAGGUAACGGCUUACCAAAGCGACGAUGUCUAGGGGGUCUGAGAGGAUGAUCCCCCACACUGGUACUGAGACACGGACCAGACUCCUACGGGAGGCAGCAGUGUUGAAUAUUGGUCAAUGGACGCAAGUCUGAACCAGCCAUGCCGCGUGCAGGAUUGACGGCCCUAUGGGUUGUAAACUGCUUUUAUUUGGGAAGAAAGGUCGCUACGAGUAGUGAUUUGACGGUACCAUUUGAAUAAGCACCGGCUAACUCCGUGCCAGCAGCCGCGGUAAUACGGAGGGUGCAAGCGUUAUCCGGAUUCAUUGGGUUUAAAGGGUGCGUAGGCUGAUAGAUAAGUCAGUGGUGAAAUCUUGCGGCUUAACCGUAAAACUGCCAUUGAUACUGUUUAUCUAGAGUACAUAUGAGGUAGGCGGAAUAUAAGUAUGUAGCGGUGAAAUGCCUAGAUAUACUAUAGAACACCGAUUGCGAA
RNAcentral lists this ribosomal RNA (645 nucleotides) under uncultured organism. RNAcentral's name for it is "bacterial SSU rRNA". It matches the Rfam family "Bacterial small subunit ribosomal RNA", at positions 79 to 719 of the family's 1533-position model. The record is from RNAcentral.